ACCAGAAACCUAUGAGUUACAAAAUUGCCUCCAAUUGCAAUAAUAAUACAUAGAAUAGUCUCGUAUAAGCAGUUCUCCAACCUAUUAAUUAAAAAUAUUUAUAAAAAAAAAAAAACUAAGCUUGGUGAUUGUAGUUCACCUUCUCAGCAGCUUCUGUGACUCUGAGUGGGGGAGUCUCAACAUCUUCAACGUCCAGUUCAGAAAUAGGAGCAAACUGUCCUUCGUAGUACCUGAGGAGAAAUAAACCCUUAACACCCAUUUUUUCAAAUAUAAAAACAUAAAUGUGAAGCAUCAACUUUUAGAACCAAAGAGAUUCAGUGCAAUUUUCAUGUCAAAACACUUUUAUCUCAAUAAUGAAGUACUUAUGAGUUACAUUGAUACAAGAGCAAUGCAUCCCACAUAUCACACACAUUCCUUAUAUCUGGAUCCCCAACAAUAGCAAUCCAAUGUCACCCACAUAGCACAUGAUACAUACCAGAGGUGUCCCUAGAAUGUCCACAUCAGCCAUUCCUUAUAUCUGUGUCCCCAAAAACAUUUGCAGUAAAAAGUACAUGGACUUAUGAGCACAAAGGGAUAACGGACAUGUAUGGGUUGACUUGAGAGAUAAACCAAGUAAAGUAAGUUCAAGAAAAAAUCUAGGACCAAAUAGGAUACAAGGUCAGAAUCAGUGUGACCCAUCUAAAAAGUUAGGACCCCACAUUAAUUUGUGCAGUCAACAACGAGGAUCCAUCUUUGGAUUAUUAUCCUAAAACGCUCUAUCUUUGGAUUAUAUCCUAAAGUGCUGCUGGUUAAGCUUGUUUCUGGUUUUUCUCUGUUGGAAAUUUCAAUUACUAACGAAAUAUCCAAUCUUCAUUUAAACAUACAGAUUUAAACUCAACUGUUGGCACUGCAGACUCUUGGCCAUUGUUGGGAUUGAAAUAAGCUAGAGUUUCUCAAGAUAAAUGCGGAUGAGGUGGGUUUUAUUUGAGAUAGCGAAUUCCAUGUGUUUGUGGAUUUAUUGCCAAAGCAAUUUGGGAAGAUCCCUGCUGUUUCCUCCAGAUGGAUGGGGUUAUAAUUUCAUUGUAACUUUUCUGAAGUAAGUUUUAGUUGGACUCCUUUUCUUUGCAAUGGACAACUUCUCCUCCUUUCCUUUAGAAAAUGCUUUGCUUUGCUGAAUUUUUCGUAACUCUUAGAAAUGUAACCCAAACUAAGAUGAAAACCCCCAACAUGACCGUAUUUUAAUAUGCUAUCACUUCUAAUCCUCUAUAUCUUUCCACUUGUUUCUCCAACUACCAUCAUAUGACUCGAGAGUUGUAUUGUGAGAAAGUCAUCUGUAUAUCAAAACUGAAAUCAAAUGAUCAUCUCUUCAGCACCCACAUGGUCUAUGUUCUAUAGCUUUCAACCCAAGUGAACUGAAAGCAUGAGACUCACAUUUUGAGUUGCGACUUUAUGUGCCUGAGCCAGGGUGCAUAUGCAUGAUUGCUUUUCAUUCAUUUUAGAAAUCAUUUGAAGCAUUGCUUCAGACAUAUAAUCUUCAAUCUUUUCACCUUUUUUUUUAUGACAAACAGUAGCGUUAGUGGGUUAAAAGUUUAUUUGUUAGGGGGAGGGGAAUCGAUGGGCAUCAAACCCGCACCAGGGUGCAUAUGCAUGAUUGCUUUUCAUUCAAAGUGUAGCAAUAUGGGGCUAAAAGAAUCACUCAGUCAAUCUUUCUCAACACCUUAGGCAUCCACAUACACAUUGGGAUCAUGUAUGUGAUCUACAAAAACGUUUAGGUGGGGAAUAACUCAAAGAGGAGCAUACCUUGUCAAUAGUUCCACUGCUUGUGAUCCAUAUCCAAUCUACAACAACGAAAAAUAAAUUACCAUUUCAACAGAUCCCUGGUUAUAGAUUACCAUUUCAACAAAAUCCUGGUUAUACAUAUUGCUUUGGAAACCAUAAUGAGAGAAUACCUUCAUGGCACUUGGAUGUGUAGCAAUUCGUACAAUCCGAGCACCUGAAAGACUGGGAAAAACUGUGUCCUGAAAUUGCUCACAGAAUUUCCAUGGUAUCUGGUCACCAGAAGGCUGAUGACCAUCACUUAAACUUUUCAUUGCAGAUUCACGAGAGAUCUUUCCCUCAAGGCAGACCUAAGAACAAAAUGAUAGCACAUAAAAUGUUGAGCAUCAAAGAAUUAGUGUUUUAUAGAAGAUGAAGUACGUGUUUAAAGUGUUGUCCUUUAUUGCUAUUUCACAUAAGGUAAAAUUAUAAAUAAAAAAACUAAUAAAAUUUUGGGUAUGCGUUAAAUAACUAAAAGAAAUAAUAGUCCUGAACUAGGGGAAGACAGUCAAACCUGAAUGACACACAAAAUAUCAGGAAGCUGAUUUUUUGACUCAUCAACAGGGCCUGCACGUGCAAAUUAUAAUCAAGUCCAGCCAAAUAGCGGCAAAAAAAGAAAGACCAGUUCUAACGUAACAUAUAUACCAAGUAGCACAAACAGGUGGUGAGCCGGGGCAUCAGCCAUUAGUUGCAAAUCAUUUGGAGAAUUUUUGUAGUGGGAGGCAACAUAUAGAGCCAUCAUCCGCUGCAAGUAUUAGAAUAUGUAAGUUCACUAAUAUGAAAAUGAGAAUCACUAGUCUGACAUUACUUGAACAUGUAAUUACCUGUAAGAACAACUCGCUAUCUUUAUGAUAUGAAAAAAGCGUAUCACAGUUUACGUAGUACAGAUCGCACUCACUGGGUGCAGGUAACCUAGCCGCCAAGAGAGAGAGAAGAGAGAGAGAGAUCAUUAAUAAAGGUAAGGGUUAUAAUGGAGAUGGUUACAUCUUCCUCGGUUCUGACUGUCUAAGCAAAUGUUUUUACCCGUUAAGUUUAGGGAUAUAAUUUGUGAUAUCCAAGCAAAGUAAACCAUGAAGCCAGGAUUCAAUCGGAUCACCAGAAGCAUAUCUGAUAGAUUCUUUCAAUUCUAUCUUUUUGAAAAGACGACCUACAAUCAGGGACAUUUAUCAAUUCAGAAAAUUAUGUCCAAAUAUCACAAAAUAGUUUUUAAAAAAUUAUACAUUGCUCACUUGCAAGCGCCAACAGUUCAAGUAUUUCAGAAACAAUAAUGUUAAGAGAAAGCAGAAGAAACAUUGAAUUUUGAAAAUAAAUUCAAGUUUUGGGGGGAAAGGGGGAUUUUGAUCCAACCUAAUUCAAGAUGAGAAUACAAAACACGGCCAAUAAGGAAUAAGCAUACCAGAUGUAGGCCCCUUAGCAGACACUUGGCUUUGCUCUUCCAAUUGCUGUAGAAGUUUUAGGGACAAAGACCGACCAGUACCUUCAUAGCUUUCAGUGUAAAAUAAAUGUCCUUUAGUAUUUAAAUUGCACUUAGAUUUUUUUUUUUUUACCAAAAGUUGAAUUCAGAGUUGACUUAUAAAUAGAAAGACAUCAAGCAUGAGUCAAGGAAAAGUGGAAACAGCCCAUGAAAAGUGAAAGAUCUUUCAUUCCCCCCCGCGGCCGUAACAGAAAGUGAAAAAGUGAAGUGAAAUAUGUUUCAUGAGACUGUUAAAACCAAAAAAGAACACAUGAUAAGAAUACACGACAUGAAGGAAGAAGAACAUGGAUGAAUCUUACCCAUUAACAGUAGAUGAAAGGAAGACCAGAUAAGGACCAAGCAAAGACUUCACUACUGGUAGUGGAAUAGCAGCUGCUUCAUCAACAACCAACAGUUCAACUUGGGAAAGCUUUUCAUGCUCAUGUGGCCGUAUAUACUGCAAGUACAAGUAACAAAAGUAAAAAACAAAUAGCCCCAAAAGCAAUGAGCAGUACAAAGUUCUUUCUUUUAGGCUACAUGAGGUGUAAAGGUCUAGACCACCUCACAAUCUCACAGGCAUGUUGAGUGCCUCUAUACCAUACAUACUGGAUUAGUGCCAGGAAGACACAUUAGGUUGACCAAAAAGUUUGGCGUUUCAGGAACAUGCUUUUAGAAGCAAGCUUCAGUAAUCACAAACCAUCUAAAUUAUGUUCAAUAUGCUCACACCAAUAACAAAAAUGAUGCACUUGGGCAAAAGUACAAUAGAAUUUUUGGAGUAGUCAAACAAAGACAACCACUAAUCAUAUAUGAGGGCAUACGACAUUUGAUGGGCAAAAGGUGAACACACUCAUGGCUAUUGUGAUGCGGCUAUCCAAUAGAAGAAUAUUCUCUAUUACAACUUGGUUAUCAACUUUUCAUGAGUAACAAUUCCUCCAUGUAUUUGUAUUUUGGUAUCAACUGACUAAACAAAAUCUUUAUUGCUAUUUUUUUAUAGAAAACGAGAUUUUAUUAAACAGCUAAAAAACAAUACAACACUUAGUGGACUAGGAAGUCCACCAUCAAAACGAAACAGCCCUGACAUAUGCCUCAACAUUCACCUCCAUCAUUAUAAAACAGAUCUGCAACUAUCUCACUGCAACUCCCCAAUCCAACAAAAUUACAUAAAAUGAAAGAUCCCAAAACCUUGGAGAGAGAGAAGCCAUAAGAAUGCCCAAUUCUUUCCCAAGAAUUCUCUUGUAAAUCCCCACUCUAAUUUUCAAAGGUUGCAAACUUGAAAUUAACAUAGAAGGUAACUGGCUUCAGAGUCAACUAGGAUAAUACUGGGCAUAUAUGCAGAGAGUAGGCAUAGUAGCAACUUUCAGGGUAUGGAAUAAUACAAAAGGAAAGGGAAGACCACAGAAUUCUCUCAGUCAUCUUAACUUGAUUUGGUACUAAGAAUAAGUUAUGUAUACACUUCCCACUGGCCCAUCUGUACGUUAAUAUAGAAAUAGAUUAUAUCCUGGCAACAAGGAAGUGAAAUACUCCUAUUUUUAUAUCAAUAUUGGGCACAAAUUAAGAGUUCAUCAAUAUAAUUUUACCUCAAUUGUAACCAACUGUGCAUAUAAGUUUACCUGAAUUGUUUGUCUGUGCUGCUUGUAUAUAUUGAUCUGUACAGUUGCUUUCUUCAACAAAGGGUCACUACUUUUCUGUACAUCAUAAUCUAUAUGUUCCUGCAAACAUAGUUUACAACUGUAAGCUCAAUAACUAGUGCACUGUUCGAAGUACAUGAUUGAAAAAUGAAGAAAACGGAGUGACCUUAUAACAAUUAAUGAAAGAUAAAAUGUAGUUCACAGAAUAAAACAUUCAAACACCACCAUCUUGAUAGUUAAACAAUUUCACUGUAAAAGCUAUUAAACUUAGCAGGAAAAAAAAUUUAAACUUUAUCUAACAUUUGAAUCUACAAUUUUCAAUUAGCAACUCUUGUCACAAAUGUUUAUUAGUGGGGUACGUUCUAAGAUAUUGUUAUUUGCUAAUUGUCGAGGAUUAUUUGGGAGUUAAAUCUCACAAGAAGGCGUAAAGAUCACAUUAGAAUUAGAUAUUUUACUAGGAAGCUAAAGAUCACAUUAGAACCACCCGCAGGAAUACAAAAAAACGACAUACCUUAUAGUCCAGUUGAUCAAAACCCUUGCAAACAAAUUCGAACAAGGUUCUUAAGUUCUCAGGGCUGGGUGCAGUUACAAAUAUAUUUGAAUACCUGUGAAGAUAUAUUUGUAUCGUCAAAACAUAGUACAUGAAUAUGAGUGUAGACAGCUACACAUACACCAAAACAGUUUUAAUACAUUGUAAAAGGCAUACUACCCUGCAGCAAUAGCUCCGGAAAUUGCCAAACCAAGUGCAGCCGAUUUUCCACGGCCUCGAGCAGCAAGCAAGGCAACAGUACUUCGGAGUGUCUUGUCCAAGAUUGCAUCAAGAAAUGUAGCAACAGCAUUUCCCUGUUGAAACAUUUACCAACUCAAACUAUGAGUCAUAUUAGUAAAUCACACAUGAUAGAAAAACUCAAAACUAAUACAAAUCAGAGAGAGUGCCUACCUGGUCCAACGUACAACAUUUCUUUAUUAAAGGGCCAACAGGAAAGGCAUCACUCAGCUGCUCUUUUAGAUCCUUCAGUUCCCUUUGUGACUCUGAUAUCCCUUCAGAGUCCUUCAAUCAUGAUCAGAAAACAAGAAAAAAGUUAUCAAAGUUAUCAAAGCUUCACAAACUCCUAGAAAGUAUCCUAAUAACCAUUCGGUAUACACACACUUGAAAAAUUACUUUUAUUCUUUUUGUCAUCUCGCAUAAGAUGCCACGAAAAUAAAGCAUUCCUCGAUUUAUCAGUUCCGUCCUAUAGAAAAGUUACAAGGCUAAAAGGUUACCUCUUUCACUGGAACUGGGGUAAUUGACCUCAUAUGAGAUGAAAUUGGUAAAAUAUUCAGCUCAUCAUCCAUUACUACACAUGAUUUGCAUGACGCAAGUGACAAUAAGAAACGCUCGUUAAAACGUCCAGUAGCCUUAGAAUGGGAUUCAGUUCGAAACCUAUCAUGAACAUCCUGAAAUCAAGAGGCGCUGAUAAGACUGUAUGGAGAUUUUUGCAUUUGAGAGAACGAGAAAGACAGUGUUGCAAAUAAAACAUGACAUAACGGAAUUGUUAUCAAAUAUAAUAUGUGGUGCAUGGCUAUUGCUAUAUUCGUUCUAAGUCCAUAAUGUAGUAAAACUAGAAACUACCUCAACAAGAAGAACAAAUAUUAUGAGGAAACCUAGUUGUUUUUUCUUCUUCUUUUUGGGGCUAGAACAUGAAAAGAAACAACUAGUCUACAUAGGCCCAACUGGGAAACUUAUAUGUUCAGCAGCAUUCUCUUAAAGAAAGUCAAGCAAUUGAAUCUACCAAAAGUCUUCUUGUAGCCAAGCACAUCAUUACGAAAAAAUUCGGAAACUUUUAACAUGGCUAGUUUUCAAGAUUUUGCGGUAUAUAAUAAGCAUAACCAUGCUGGCCUAAAAACUAAGCAUUAAUUGUGUGCAUGCGUAAGAGAAAGAGGUAUUAUUAUAUGCAUACCAUAACCAUGGUGUAGAGGUUGGUGAGUGAGGUUAGAGAAUGAAGCAACAAUAUGACUAGUCCACCUCCCUCCACUGUCUCUAUCGUUCUUGCUAGUAGAUUUGGAGUCAAGGCCUCAAAAUCCUAAUGCAGGAGAUCAAACUUAGUCAUAAAACUUAAAUCAAUUAUACAAGGGGUCUUGGCCAAACCAGUAAAUUUGUAAGUUUCAAGUUACCUGAAGUAUACACAUUCCAAAGGUAUUACCAAGAACUCUUUCUGAAUCCUUGUACAAGCAAUAAGUCAAUCCCCCACUUUCAACAAAAAGUGAGAAAGGAUCAACCUUCUCGGGAUCAAGCAGCCCCCUCUGCAUCAUCUUUUUUACUUGCUUAGCACGUUUUUUCUUGUGACUGCAUCAUGAAGUAGUCAAACGCAACGAAUCAAUAUAUUUUAAAAACGAAAUUCCGCCUUGCCUUAUAAUAAGGUGAAGAAUGGAAGGUAGAAGAAAUCAACCUGCUGAGCUCGAGCUUGUCCUUGUAGCACCACAACACAGUCGGGCGCGAUUUCUUUACUUCAUUGCUUAGCAUAUAAUGAAGAUUCACAAUCUGAAGACCAUAUAAAACUCCAUAUUAGCCAUUUUCCGUUAGUUUUCGAUAGAUUUUCGAUGAUAUUUCUUACCUUGUUUGAGGUUUUUAGUGUUACUCGGUGAGUAUUGCAGGUGAAAACAAGAAACAGUAAAACUGGUAAAAUUUUCUACCCAAUUCAAUUUAAAUCAUUGUUAUAACUCCUCAAAUUGAAUAGGAAUAGCAAAUAGGGAAUGGGAUAGGAAAGGCAGAAGAAAUUAGGAGUACCUGGUCACGGGAUUUGUCGCCGACGAUGACGAACAUGGAGCGGUGCCGGUUUUUGACGCCAUUGCUUAUUAGGGUUCGGAUUCGUUCGUCCACCUUCUUCCUCAUUCUCUCUCUCUCUUCUCUCUCUGUGCAAUUAGGUUUAGGGUUUAUACCAUAGGGCAGUUGUCGUCGUCGGGCAGGGUUUAAGCCGAACUAGUGAGAGAGAGACUAGACAUCGCGGAGAGAUAUUGAGUUCAUCUCAACCGUUGAUUGGCUAUCUGAUGGCUGUUAUCAAAGCUGACAUAAAAAUGAAAACUCAACACGUGGCCAAGUAUUUUUUUUCUCUCUUUUUUGGCUUAUUUAUUGAUUUGCCCCAGAAAUUAUUUUUUUUGUCUUACUCUAGGUCAUGAAACAGAAUUUAUCUUACUUUAUCUUCUAAAACUACCAAAAUCGAGUCAUUUCACCCAUGUUUUGUCAAUUCUAUCUCAUAAACGUUAAAUAAAAGGGAGUCUAAACAUUUCAUACCAUGCUAGCAAAGAUGAGCCACUGUUGUUGGUGAGGUACGAAAUUUUCAAACUUUCCUAAACCUUUAAAACUUAAAAGGUAUCUUGAAUAUGAACGUAAAUGAGGUAAAGUUGCUCAAUUUUGGCAAUUUAUGAAGGGUAAAAUGAGACAAAUUCAAUUUAAGGCUAAAGUGAGAGUAAAUGGCAGUUUCAUGAGAUAUAUCAAUAAAUAAAUCUUUUCUAGAAUACAACUAAAUUAUGUACUCACGGUAAAAGAUAAAUUAAUAUCGAACUUGUCAUUGACGAUAUCUAAACAUAAAACCUUUCAAGUUUUUACCUAUAAGAAUAAAUUUGGUAUAGUAAUUUCUUUUCUAAUUUAAAGUUUCCCAUAGAGUUAUGACGAAUUUGAUACCAAAUUAGGCUGUCAUUGUGUGGCAUAGCCGAAUUCCUCCUCCCUUACUUUAAAAAUAACGAUGUACUCAAAAAAAGUUUCCCAUAGAGUUAAAAUGAUCUUUAGUUGCUUGCUGAGACAACCCAUAUGUAUAAUAAGACAUUGAAAAAGGUGCCUCUGUCAUUUACACUCACACGAUCGAAUAAGUAGCUCCGACAGUUGCAUCAUAAAAUUAAGGGGUUUUCCGAGAUUGUAGUAAGGUUGACGAUUAAAGUUUGGGAAAUUUUCAGGUUAAGGAAUCAAGGGAUCACAUUUUCAAGUUUCGUAGGCAUUCUCUUUCCUUUGGAAUGGUGUUGGAAUCCGUCCUGAAGUUGCCCAUUCCUUUGCUCUUGAUUUUCAGAGUUGGAUAGCUAUAAACCUUAGGACACAUUGUACCACCAUACAUGGUUUACCUUGGAACCUUAUCUUUAAUUCAACUCUCUGGCAUUGCUGGAAAUGGAGGAAUAACUUUGUCUUCAAUGAUGGCCAACAACCGCUUGACUCACCCCAGAAUUUCAUUUUUCAAUUUGCAAGGGAAUGGUGUGAUGCGAACAAGUGUUCUUCUAGUAAGCCUCCUAGACAAAAUCAUCUCAAUCCAUUGGAUUCGUUUGCCAAUUGGUAUACAAAAUCAAUACAGAUGGGAGUUGUAAAGACCCAUUUAGCCACAUAAGUGCUGGAGGUUUGCUUCGUAAUUCUGAAGGGAAAUGGAUUAAGGGAUUUGCUGCUAAUUUGGGCAGAGGAACCAUCAUGGAAGGUGAGCUUUAAGGGUGGUUUCAUGGGACUUUCUAUAGGUUGGGAUGAGAGUUGCAAGGAAGUGAUUAUUGAAUGUGAUUCUUAUGCUGCUGUUACUUUGAUCCAACAACCUAUUUUAGUUCCCACUCUACAAUCUCAUUAUUGACUGCAAAGAAGCCAUUGAAAGAAAUUGAAGAUGUGAAGUUACUCAUAUCUAUAGAGAAAAUAAUGUCUUAGCUAAUCACACGUCUGACUUAGGUCAUGGGUUAUCACUUGGUCUUCAUGUUUUUGCUUCUCCUUCUACCAUUGCUACUAAUUUUAUAGUUUCUAAUACUAUUGGCAGGGCCCUCCCUAGAGCUGUUUUUUAGUAGCUUUUUUGUUUUGCUUGUUGGGCUUUGCCCUCUUCUGUACCCAAAAAAAAAAAAAAAAAAAAAAAUAUUGGGAAAUUUAUUUGGACCCAACUUUUUUAUCUCUACACCCAAAUAAUAUUUUCUCUUAUCUAAUCUUCCAAAUUUGUCCUUAAAUAACAAACAUUGAAGUUUUCUUUGUAUCUCUACACCCAAACCCCACGAUCCACCACUGUAGGGCGCUCCAUUAUUUCCGACAAACCCAACUCAAACGCCAGCAACACUAAAAUCGACAAAUCAAGACUGGAGAACAAAUGGUGUAGGAGUCCUAAUGUGAAUAUUAAAGCAAACUUAAGUUGCAAAACCCUUUUUUAUUUCAAUCGAUGAAAGGACCUUGGGUUAUGAACAUAAGGAACCUAUUAGGGUUUAGAGGUCCCCUCCACAUCAUAUGCAUAAGCCCUUUUUCUUCAUUCAUUAAUUUACGGAAGGGAAAAUUAAUACUAUUAUUCUCAUAAAAAGUGGGAAUACCAAGGAAAGAGAUCCUCUCCACACCAUAUAUUUUUCUUUUCUGAGUAGUUAUAUCCAAUGGAGAGAGGAAAACAAGAGCACCAAUGGUCGCAGGUUCACCGGAGAAAAUGAAGGUGCAGUGGUGAUGUGAGUUUAGGGUUAUUGGGUGUAAAGAUAACAACUUUAAUAUUUAUUUUCUCAUUUUUAUUUAUUUAAGGGCAAAUUUGAAAGUUUAGUAGAGAAAAUUUGUUAGUUGGGUGUAGAGAUAAAAAGGUUGGGUCCAACAAAAUUUCUCAUAAAGUUUAAUCACGCGAUUAAGUUCUUGUGCAAUGAGUAAAUUGUAGCAAUGACCCAUCAACUAAAAAUCCAUUAUUAUUGAUCCCUCAACUCAUCAAAAUAUGUAGUUAUGGUCAUUUUCGUCAACUUUGUAAGAAUUUUGUCAAAAUAAAUUAUGUUGGAAGGACCAUUGUUACAAUUAAGGUCCUUCAACUCAUCAAAACAUGUAGCUAUGGUCAUUUUCGUCAACUUUGUCAAAAUGAGUUAUGUUGGCAUGACCAUUAUUGCAAUUGGGUUAAAGUUGAGGAAUCAUUGCUCCAAUUGGGUUAAAGUUGAGGGAUCAUUUCUCUAGUUAGAUUAAAGUUGGGGGACCAAUGAUAAUUAAGUUUUAGUUAAGGGAUCAUAGUUGCACGUUUUGAUGAGUUGAGAGAUCAAUGAUAAUGAAUUUUUAGUUAAUGGAUCAUUACUCCAAUUGAGUUAAAAAUAAAGGACCAUUGCUACAAUUUACUCUUGUGCAAUAGAAGAUUAAUUUGGCCGAACAACCUGAUUAAGGUGCCUACUUUCUCUUUAAUUCAUUGGUAUCAUUUAUUUUCCCUUAAGCUGAAUUAUGCUCAAUUUAUGUAUCAAUAUUGUAAAGUUGUCUUUGUUAGAGUAAUUUGGACAAUAUAAAUUGAAAAUUAUUUGUGUAUAUGGAAAAGAUUAACCUCAGGGGUCACUUCGCCGGACUCCGUAGCAAUCUCCACCACUCCAAUCGUAAUGGUGAGUAAAUCACUUGUGUUUGUUUCCAUUUUUUCAAUUGGAAAUUGGGGGUUUUGAAUUCAUAUUUUGUCAAUUGGUUUUGUGAGCACUGAGAAUACACUACGAGCUUGUGUGUGUGUACAAUAUGUUGGAUUUGAUCUUUAUAAAGAAUGCGAGAAAUUGGGGUUAGGAAAGAGAAGAAAAGGAAACAGAACUCGAACUUCGAUCUUCAUUCUUGUUACUAAAGGAGAAAACCGAAUUUGAACCGGUUCAUACGUAAUCGAACCGAAUUUGUAUAGUUCGGUUCACCCCUUAGUACCGAACCGUACCAUACCAAAAAAAAUUUCUUGAGUUUGGUUUUGAUACAUCCCUCAUACUGUACCAUACCAAAUCGUGGCCAGACCUACUGAAUACAAAACUUAUAUCUGGGUCGUAAGUCGUAAGGCCUCCAAAAAAAAAGUUCAUAUUAUUCAUACCAAUCGGACAAAUCCCGCACCCAAAAACAAUGGCUAGAUAGAAAGUUCAAUUAUAGAUUAGGUAAUCUAUCCUUUUCAACUUAAAUGCACAUUCAUGAUGGUUAUGCAAAUCAUAUUAUGUUAACAAAUGCAACAAUUAAUUAUAUUUAUCCAUUUGGAAUGAUAUAUAUUUUCAAAGAUGGAAUUACAGACCCCGUUGACGUUGAGGCCAUUGCAUGAGAGAAUUUUAGAUGAUUUUCAAUUAAUUUAUAUUAUUGUUGUGAUAACCAUAAUAAUUAUUUUCUAAAUGUAAAACUAUAUUAAUGAAAUUUUCUUUGUCGGUCAAAAGAAGAUGAAAAGAUAUCUUUAUCUUCUAUCACAACAAAAAAAUUAAGGAUAUUAAUGUAAUAGGCUAAUAGCGAUGGGGUGAAGAAAUGGAACUAUCCUAAAUAGGCAGUUGCUGGUUAUAUUGGAUCAGGUGGUCUGAAUGAUUGGAUAAUUAGCAAAUAAAAAGGUUCCAUUUUUCAUGGACCCUCAAGUGGAAAUAUGGGAUAAAAGAUGGCAUAUACCAUUUUAUCCAUUUGUGAUUGUACAUUUUGAUGGUUGUGAUUUCACCCGAUGGCGCGGCAAGUGUGGAUUGGGAUAAGGAUGGUUUUGGUCUAUCAUCAAAGAUGGUUUGAUGUUCACGACUGGAUUUUACAACGCAUCCAAGUGCAUGGGUUCUAUAAAUACAGAGUUGCGCACAAUAAAAAAGUACAAAGGACCUUCAAACCUUUCACACACUCUGAGAAACUCCUGAUUCUCCCAACUUCGUCAACACAUCUUCAAUUUGGAUUAACAUCACUGUUUGUCAGUGAGGAGUCCUUAGUCUUCUCGUCUCAUUAGCCCUCUAGGUGAAGUGAGGUGUUACUGAAUUACUUGAGUAUUCAGCACAUUGAAAGUCGAACCUUAUUUGAACUUCACAGUAGUUAGCAAUCUUAUCUUCAGGUUUUAGAACCCAAUGCCAAGACAUAUUCCUUCCUCGACAGUGAUGGUUUGUACACAAAAGUUGGUUUGUACACAUAAGUCAGUAUUGUGUUUGACACACCAUCCCAUUCAUUCUACUAGCCCACAAACGCGUGGACUCGUCCAAAAUUACCCCACUCUCGGCCCGUUCACUUGCCCACUCGUCCCACGCGGCCCGUGAGUCUUCAGUGCCUGAUAGGGGGGCCUACUGUUAGGGCCGUUGUUGGCCACAACCCAGAGCCCAACGAUUUUUUUUUGCAUCCCACGACUGGCAUUUUUGGACCGUUGGUUGAUCCAACGGUCCAGAUUCAAAUUUUGUUUUUUUAAAUGUUAUUUUAAAAUACAUUGAAUCCAACGGCUGAGAUCGAAUAUAAUCAAAUCUAACGGUAAAAUAAAAAAAGAUAAAAAAAGAUAUAACAGUCCAAAUUUAAAUCCAACAGCUAAAAUAAUUUUAAAAAAAAUUAUUUAACUCAAAAUUCACCCAAAAACUCUAUAAAUACCUUUGUAUUUGUUCAAACAUCCACACAAAACUCAAUUUUCUCCCACAAUUCUUCCAUUUUUUCUUUCUACCAUUUCUUUCCAUUUCCAAAUUGUUCAACACGAUCCUUGAAUUGGCCAUCCCAAGCAGUAAGACAAUUCUUCCACUCCCAAAGCAUACAAUCGAGACUUCCUAUCAUGUCAGGAAAGCCUAUUUUGUCUGCUUUGAGUAGAAUGUGACGACAUGUCCCGAAUUAUUAUAUAUUUUUCUCCCUAAGUGUGUAAAGUGACGGUAAUGCCCUCGUGAUUUAGUGACGUGGAUGUACAUAUGUAGUUUUAAAUUAUUAUUUCUAUUGUCGUAGUUAAAUUGUACUCGACGCCAUGAGUGUGUUGAUGUGACCUAGGGCUAAAACAAAUUCGUAACGAAGAAGUUACGAACAGACGAGUGUGUAAAUGCGUAGAAAUAUAUUUUUAUGGGUUGGCUAUACCUUACCCACCAAUCACCUUAAUUCCUGAUUUCUUUGGCCUAAUUGAAUUAAAAAUAUCUCUCAUUUUUCCUUCUGCCCAAUCACGCACAUACACACCAUCACUCUCUCUCUUCUCUCGGACCUUCUUCUUCUUUCUUCUCAUUCCGUACACCCGAGCCACCCUUACCUCACAAUCAUCAUCAAAACAUUAUGGAUCGAAUUGGAAAUCACUACCAUCGCAGUCACCUCGAUCCCACGAACUCAUUGAUACCCUUAGGUCGAGGAAUAGACGUCGGGAAUUCGAGAACUCGGGAGCUCUGGCGAGGUGUAUUUUUCUACUUUGUGAUCGUGGUCUUUUUCUAUGGUUUAAAGGCUUGAGGUGGGUCCUAAUCAACUUUAUAGGGACCCUAGAUUAGUUUUGGAGCAGUUUGAACGUUGGAAUAGGUGAGAACAUGGAGUUGCAGGUUGGCCGGUUGAUCCAAGCCUUACUCCGACCACUUUCUGUCGGUUUUAGAACCUCAAGUAGGUAAGAUUGUAUUCUUCUAGUUGAGAGUUUCAAAUCCAUAUAAAAUUCAUGGAAUUUGGUUGAAAAAUGAUGAAGAUAUUAAAGUUUUAAGAUUUUUCCAAAAAUCAGCGACACAAACGGCGCCCGACGGCCAGCGAUGGAUUCCGACAAAGCCAUCGGAGAAGGAGGAGAAUAUUAUGUCUAACUUUGACAGAAUAUACUAACAGCGUCAGGUAACUCUAUUAGUUUUUAAACAAAAUAUUCUACUAUUUAAUGAAAUAUUCCCUAACGCCGUUAGGGAUUCCGUGCCUGCACGUGCCGGCUUAUGAGGGCGCGUGAGACGUCAGGAAAUUAAUCUAAAAAUAUUGGGGUGUUCGAGUUGUUGAGUAGGUCAUGUUGGUAUAUUCAAACACCCUAUUUGAGCAACGUAUGAGAAGUUAUUCCUAGGGUUUGUGUAUGUGCCUUAAAAUUAAUGUAAAAUUAGUUAUUUCGCAUAUAGGUGAGACUUACCCGGAGGACAAACGUGGUCAAACGAGACUUGGGGGCUACGAUCCUACUACUUACCAGUGAGCGGGCUUUUUUUUUCUAUAUAUAUGUAAAUAUGCUUAUGAAUCCCAUAAACUACUUUAAAUGAACGUAUGUUUUAAAUGCCAUGUCGUGUGCAUUAUGUGUUAGUAUUGCAUUAGUAUAGCUAUGCAUAGUAUUGGAUGAGACUGCGCAGACUCAGGUAAGUUUCAGGUGAGUACAUCAUGAUGGUAUUGGGUGCGUGUGUGUGGUUAUACGUUGAUGCAUUUUGAGCUUAUUAUCCUGCACAUUGGUGUUAGUGUUCUCGCCCAUGGCCAGGGCAUAGUUUUUCACAUGAUGUUCACCUCCUGGGCCGCACGCUCACUUUGGAUCCAAGUUUGGUGCACAGCCAUAUUGCACAGACCACAAUAGGUGGUUCCGACUCGUAGGUGACCUGCAAUUAUUUGCACAGCCUUCACGUGAUCGUAGCACUUAAGCGUACUUAUCUACACCCAGCCCUGUUGUACAGACCACAAUAGGUGGUUCCGACUUAUGUGCAUGCAUACUUGAUGAGCUAUAGAUUCAAUUGUACAGGUUACAUUAGGUGACUCCGGUUGGCAUACUAUUUUAGGUUGAUUCGUAUCACCUGGCUUACACAUUUUAUGGUUGAACAUCUUGACAUGGCAUACCUCUGUUUUCACUGCUCUAAGCAUUAUCCUUAUGUACCUAGUUGUUAUUAUUUUCUGGAAAAUUAUAUGGGUUUACAGUGAGGGGUUAGUAUGUUCAUAAAGACAACUGUGUUUUCAAAAACUUUGUUUUUGCCUACUCACAUUUUUUGUUUUGCACCCUUUCAGGUUCUAGGUAGUUGGUCAUCCUUGGUGGCUCACGAGGACUUUCACGGCGGUUCUGACAUCUCUGUAAAUAAGUAGGGAUUUUUUUCCCUGUUUGUAUAAUUAGUACUUAGUUGGUUCGAUUGCACUUUCGUUUACCCAUGCUCUGAUAUUUGUAUAACUUGCUUGGUCAUCUUUACUCACUUAUAUUAUCUUAGUUUAGAUAAGUUUGGUUUUAGGUUUUUAUUUAUUCGCAUUUCUUUUAUUAUUACUUCUGUUGCGCAUUUUGGCUACGUUACUCUUACGUGACGGGCAUCAUGUUUCGACUUCGGUUGGGGUGUGUCAUAAAAGCCUCUUCAAGUCUUCAUGAUUUGGCUUGCAGAGAUAUGUGGCUCCAUAUGUGGCCUGAAUUGCCCCACAGAAGCGCUCCAGGUUUUUAAUAGCAGUAGUCUCCGCAAGUCGGCAAUACUCAUCAGUUGAGUUUGCAGAGCACUCAUUAGCUAGCAUCCGAAAUGCAGAUGUGAGCUUCUGAUGAGGUGAUAGACUUUGUCGGCCUACGACAUUUAUCUUCCUUGCAAAGUAGUGGUCAUGAUUGACAACUGUGUUCAAGAUGCUUUCAAAAAUCUCUCUCCUCAUUCGAAACCGUCUCCGAAAAUCAUGAGCAGGAAAUCUCGGACGCUCAAUAAAAUAAUAUUUCAUCAUUCGGUCAUGACACUCUUCUCUAUCACGUUGCACAAAUGAACGCUUCGUGACAUAACCACAAUAGCUAGAUUCGACAUGGUGCUCAUAUUGCAUAAGCGAGUUUGGAAGUUUAGCUUAUGCGUUGAUCAUUUUUGAAUCCUCAAUGUCAAGGCUUGCUUGGUAUUAUGUCAUUUGCAUUGCCCUGCUACACCUUCUUCUAUCAUCCAUUGUUGAUAUAUUGAGGAUUUUUAUGAAACAAAAACACUUUGAAAGUUGAAAGAUUAGUGAAUAUAGGGAAUGAUUGAAGGUUGAAAGAUUGUGUGACCAACUGAUAUUGAACAUGUGUUUAUAUAGAGGAUGAUUGAUGAAAGUUGAAAGUUUGGUGAAAGUUGAACGGUUGGUGAAAGUUGAAGAUUUGUGAAAGUUAAAGACUUGCUUUGUGGAAAGAUUUAGUGAUUUUUUCAAUAUUUAUUGGAAUUUAAAUAUUUUUAUAUUAAAAUGUUCAUAAAAUUAAUUUACCAUAGGCUACAUAAUUUUUUUUAAAAGUUAAUUUAAGAAAAAAAAUUAGCCUAAGUUCAUUCUUUAAUAAUCCCGAACUAAAAUUUUAGGCUAGGGUUGGAGCAGAAAAACUGUUUCUGUGUUAAAAGCUAAAUUUUUUAGAUUAAAAAUUUUAAAUUUUAACCCAAAGGUUGGAGAUGAUUUAAGAAUGGAUAAACUUAACCAAGAAAAGAAGAAAAAAGAUGAAGGGCAAAUAAGUGAGAAGCAACAUGACACGACACACGGACGACCAUAGCAAUAAAGCGUGCGUCCUCACGUCCAUUGAAUAUAUAGAUGGGAGCUACAACAUCGUGUUUCACGUGCAUGUGUAUUAUACAUAAAGGCAUAUACAGUGUUAGCUUAUAUAUUAUAAAGUUUGUAGGCCACUUACCCAAUUUGGCAUAUGUUUUAUCUUUUUACGUGAAUAACCAAUGUGUUAUGAUGAUACAAGUCUCUUAACAUAUCCGGAGUUAGAAAUAUCAUAAGACAGUGUUGCGAUCAUAUUGAAAUUAAUUGACAGUUUGUAUUAUAUAUUUGAUUAUUCUUUAUUAACUUAAGGAGACAGCAUACUUAGACCUAAUUUAGUCACAUUCUCCAACCGAAAAUAAAGCGGUGUAGUAUUCAUACACUUUUUUUUAUUUCUUACACAGUCUUAAUUAAUUUCUAUUGUUUGAUCUUCUUCAAUUCAUUCGAUCUGACGACCGAAAAUUAAGAUGGUGUGUGGACGAGUAAAUUAUAACAAUGGUCCCUCAACUUUAAUCAAAUUGGAGCAAGGGUGCUCAACUAAAAAUCCAUUACCAUUGGUUCCUCAACUCAUCAAAAUGUGUAGCUAUGGUCAUUUUCGUCAACUUCGUUACAAUUUUGUCAAAAUAAGUUAUAUUGGAAUGACUAUUGCUACAAUUGGGGUCCCUCAACUCAUCAAAACGUGUAGCUAUGGUCAUUUUCAUCAAUUUCGUUAGAAUUUUAUCAAAAUGAGUUUUGUUGGAAUGACCAUUGCUACAAUUGAAUUAAAGUUGAGGGACUAUUAUUUCAAUUGAGUUAAAGUUGAAAGAUCAUUUCUUCAGUUGUAUUAAAGUUGAAGGAUCAAUGGUAAUGAAUUUUUAGUUGAGGGGACUAUAGCUGCACGUUUUAAUGAGUUGAGAGAACAAUAAUAAUGAAUUUUUAGUUGAAAAACUAUUACUUCAAUUGAGUUAAAAUUAAGAAACAAUUGCUACAAUUUUUUUAUAUGGAAAGUGGAUGAUGUGAAUAGCACAUCCAAAAAUAAAAGGGAACUUUAACGAAAAGCACCCGGUACUGUUCACUUUAACGAAAAACCACAUUUUUACACUAAAAAGUCAAUCCUGGUACUAUUCACUUUACCCUUUAUUUUGUCCUUAUCAUUAAAACUCAAAGUUUUCAAGCCCUUUUCAUUAGUUUUCCUAAAAUAAAAUGCACCACAAUUUGGUAGGAUCUUCCUGUUGAGAGUAAUAAAUUAAUAAUUGCCGAAAUAUUGGAUAAUUUGUCGGCCACAACGCUAUGAGGGAGUAUCUGGGGAUGAAUAUACUCUUGCCGACAGAUGCCCAAAUUCCAACUGCCAUUCAAAUGAGCCCUCCACCACCACCGGCCAUAAUAAAUUCUCUUUCUUUAGUGAAGAAGAAAAAGAGGUACUUGGCCCUCACCUCAACUUUUUGAGAAAGAACAAGUUUAUCGCUAUCAGAAUGUUUCGGUCAAUUAUAUAAGUUAUGUGUAAAUUUUUCUUUAGAUAACAUUACAUUAUUAUAUUUAAAAUGUUCCGUAACGAUAAAUUUGUUUCAUACAAAUUAUUCUCCAACUUCUUGGAUUUUUCUCCUUUUUCCCGAAAACCAGCUUAUAUUAGUGUUCAUCCUCUGUCAAUAUCACUCGCCCACAACUAUUCAACUAACUUUUAAUAAUUUGACAACGUGUCAUAUUUUUGUGCAAAGCGGGCCCAUUUUUGUGGGUGAUAUAAUAAUGGCGUAUGUGGUUUGUCAAGACAUAUACUCAUUUAUCCAUUAGCAGUUAGGUAAGUCACCUCACUCACCCACAGCCUAACACAUCAACAAAUAUUGCUUACAAAUUCUAGAAAAUUCGACCAAGAAAAAAAACCAAAUGCUCGCAAAUUAAAAUUGUGUAACAUGAUUAGUUUUUUAUCCAUUAGUAUUAAUUUUACGUUGGAAGAAAUUCCAAAUUUAUUCUUGUAAAGAGGGAUAUGAAAAUACUUUGUAUGUCUAUCACCAAAAUCUUCGAAUGUUUGAAUGGUUGAUUUUCAAGUCUCACACAAUUGGAUUUAGUUCAAGUGAGAAAGAAAUACACUCAAACUAUUAGAUAUGAGGAAUGAAAAUACACUACAAAAUCUUGUGAACAUUUCUAAUAUUCUCUUCUAUCUACUUUUUGUGAACCAAGUUUUUAUUUGUUUUUUUUUUUAACAAAAGAUAUUUUUUAUACUAGGGAAAUAAGGUGGGUUUAGCCUCAUAAUGGGCUAACAUAAUCUAGUUCAAACUUGCAUUUGGUGAGAAUCGAACCUAAAAUCUCUCACUUACAAGUGAAGAGGAAUACCAUUAGAAGUGUCAUGAAAUUAGCAGUCUUAUAUGUAAAAAAUUGAUUGACUAAAUGCUGUGUUAAAAAACAAGAUUAAUACUUGCAUCUCCCCACUUGGAAAAUGCAAAUAUUUCAUUUCUUGCAAAUAACGUAUAUCAUGCGUUCUGUUCAAUCGCAUAUUCAAAAAUGUUAAAAACAAGAUUAAUAUUUCUAUCUCCCCACUUGGAAAAUGCAGUAUUUCAUUUUUUACGAAUAACGUAUAUCCUGUGUUCCGUCCAAUCGCGUAUUAAAAAAAUGUGUGAAGUUUGGAUUAACUACACUCUUUGAGAAUUUCCUUAAAUAACCACUUUUUGAAAAUUUCUUAUAGGACUAAGUGAGUCUCCGCUGAGAAUUUCCUUAACUAACACAACACUACUUGAGUGAUAAUUUGUUAUAUCUUGAAUAGAGAAUAAAUCAGUUCCCUACUUUUGAAGGUACUAUUAACUUACACUAUAUUUGAAUGAGAACAAUAAACUUAGAAUUUAGAUGAAGGAAAUAAAACAGUUUCCUACUUUUGAAGGUACUACUCGAGUGAUAAUUUGUUAUAUCUUGAUAACGUGUCAUAUUUUUUUGCUAAGCGGACCCAUUUUUGUGGGGUGGUAUAAUAAUGGCGUUUGUUGUUUGUCAAGGGCAUAUACCCAUUUAUCCAUUAGCAGUUAGGUCACCUCACUCACCCACAACCUAGUACAUCAACAAAUAUUGCUUACAAAUUCUAGAAAAUUCAACCAAGAGAAAGAAAACCAAAUGCUCGCAAAUUAAUCUGUGUAACAUUAGUUUUUAUCCAUUAGUAUUUAUUUUACAUUGGAAGAAAUUCCAAAUUUAAUCUCGUAAAGAGGGAUAUGAAAAUACUUUGUAUAUCUAUUAUCAAAAUCUUUGAAUGUUUGAAUGAUUGAUCAUCAAGUCUCACACGAUUGAAUUUAGUUCAAGUGAGGAAGAAAUACACACAAACUAUUAUAUAUGAGGAUUGAAAAAUACACUACAAAAUCUUGUGAUAACAUUUCUAAUAUUCCUUUCUAUCUACAUUUUGUGAUAAGUUUUUUUUUUCCUUUUUUGAACAAACUAUAUUUAUCUACAUUAAGGGAGAGGAGGUGAUCUUAGCCUCACAAUGGGCUAGCAUAAUGUGGUUCAAAUUCGCCUUUGGCGAUAAUCGAACCUAAAACUUAUCAUUUACAAGUAAAUAGGAAUACCACUAGAUGGAUCAUGAAAUUAGCAGUCUUAUAGGUAAAAAAAAAUUGAUCGACUAAAUGAUGUGUUAAAAAACAAGAUUAAUACUUGCAUCUCUCCACUUGAAAAAUGUAGAUAUUUCUGUGAACACGGAAAAUUCCUGAAACGAAAGAGACAAGAACAACGUGCACAAAAUAAUAUUUUGGUGUUAAUGGAUUUGUUGGGUUACGAUCUCUUUUAACUUGAUCCUCUGAUUCGAUCUCCGUAAGGUGUUGAUUUAUGGAUGUUUCGUUGAUCCAAGGGCUGUUGAGGCUUGAUCUUAGAUGAACUGUUGGAAGUUUCUUCAAGGGGCCGUGGGCUUGAUCUUUGAAGGUGGAUUUGAGCGGAUCUUCAAGGAGCCGUUGGGGCUUGAUCUUGAGGAUGAGUGUUUCUUCAAGGGCCGUUAAGGCUUGAUCUUGAAUAACGGUGAUGAACGGAUCUUCAAGGGCUUUUGGGCUUGAUCUUGAAGAACGGUUGGAUGUGUGGAUUUGUUGAUGUUGUUGAUCCAAGGGCCGUCGGAGCUUGAUCUUGGAAGAACGAUGAACGAAGAACGAAGAACACUUUCUUCAAAGGCCGUCGGGGCUUGAUCUUGAAUUGGUGAUUGUUGAUCCAAGGGCCGUCGGGGCUUGAUCUUGGAAGAACGAUGAACGAAGAACGAAGAACACUUUCUUCAAGGGCUGUCGGGGCUUGAUCUUGAAUUGGUGAUUGUUAAUCCAAGGGCCGUCGGGGCUUGAUCUUGAUUCUUCGGGAUGAACGGAUGAUGAACAAUGAACACUUUCUUCAAGGGCCGUCGGGGCUUGAUCUUGAAUUGGUGGAAGUUCUUCAAGGGCCUUUGGGGCUUGAUCUUGAAGGUGGAUGAUUGUUGAUCCAAGGGCCGUCGGGGCUUGAUCUUGGGAUGAACAGUUGUGUGGAUUUGUUGAACACUUUCUUCAAGGGCCGUCGAUGCUUGAUCUUGAAUUGGUGGAAGUUCUUCAAGGGCCGUUGGGGCUUGAUCUUGAAGGAGGAUUUGACGAAGAACGAAGAGGGCUUUCUUGAUCCUUCGGGAUUUGCUUGAAUUUGGGAGGUUGGAUGCUUGAAAGCUUUAGAGUUUCAAAGCUUCAAGGAUUUUGGAUGUGUGGGGAGUAUUCUCUUCCAUUUUGGGAGUAGAGAAAUGUAUUUGUGAAUUGGUUUUUGAUACCUUGAUGUAGAAGCCUAUUUAUAGGCUUUGAGAAUGAAUCACCACCACAAAAUAUUUUUUUUCUUUUCCAAGCACCAUUGCCUAAUUUCCCACUUAAUACAAUUUUAAACUUGAAGUGGUAAUUUUAUGGCCUAAUUUUCCACUUAAUAUCAUUUUAAACUUGAUAUGUGCAUGCUUUGUCAUUGCCCAAAAUGAGAAGAAAACCUUGUUUUGAUCUUCAAUGAAUUGAAAUGUGCUUGCCUUGUCAUUGCCCAAAAUGAGAAGAAAAACUUGUGUAAUCCUUCAAGGGUAUUUCUUUUUAUUUUGUUGAGUCGCACACCAUGUGUACAAUUUGUAUGACACGUGGCAUAUGCCAUGUACGCCUUGACACGUCAAAAUUUUAAUGCGUUGGUGAACAUUUAUUUCACCGCAAUUUCGGUGUCUACAAAUGCCCCCACUUCAAGGUGCGUCGUAUACAUGUGCUUGUCACGUGUAGGAGAUGCGUUUUGAAGUCCCUUACUGUAGAUGUCAAUCCAAUGGCCAUCGAGGCUUGAUCUUGAAUUGGGCUGGAGAUUUCUUCAAGGGCCGUUGAGGCUUGUUCUUGGACUUUGUUUGAAAUUUCUUCAAGGGCCAUCGAGGCUUGAUCUUGAAGGUUGAAAUUGGACCACAAGGAGCUUCAUGUGGUAGAUGAUCUUUGGCUUUGGUAGUGGAUGAAUCGGCACGUAUUUGUUUUUGCGCUUUGUUGACUUUCCACAGCUUUGAUCUUGAACUGGGUUGGAGGAUUUUUUGGAUUCCUCCAAUUGUUGAUUUUCCACAGUUUAUUCUUGAACUGGAUUUGAUUCAAAUAUGGUGGACGCUUGAUCUUGAAUCGGACUUGUGAUUUCCUCAAGGGCCGUCGAGGCUUGAUCUUGAAUUUGGCCGGAAACUUCUUCAAGGGCCGUUGAGGCUUGAUUCUUGAAGGUUGACUCGAACACAUGGCAAGCAGGCACGAGGUGAAGGUGACGACUUGUUGCUUUGUUCAAUCUUUCUAAUUCACACCUGAGCAGUUUGGUCAACGGUAUGAUCUUCAAGAUUGAUGGGCUCUUCUUCCAGUUGGUGAUUUGAUCUUUAAGGAUUUGAUUCAAGGGUGGUGAAACGGCACAUGCAGCCCACAACGCCUAGCAAGUCGACCCAAGAAUUUGAGGGUUAAAACGAGUCCUCCACCCAGAGUGAUUGCAAACCUGAUGAUAUGAGAUACUUUUGAUUUUGAAGAAGUAGCGGAUGAAUCGGCACGUGCUUUGUUGUGCUUGUCUCCACAUGCUUCAAUGUAUCAUUUUCCCUUGUCUUAUCUAUUCUUCUAGCAGAAUGUAGCAUCUUCUUAAGUUCUUCAACUCAGACUCCUUCUGCUGAGCUGACUGUGCAGGCUGCAUUAUUCUCUGCUUGUUUCUUUAGGCAGAUGUGGCAGCUUCUUGAGUUCCUCAGCUCGGACUCCUUCUGCUGAGCUGAUUGUGAAGACUGCAUUCUUAUCUGCUUGUUUCUUCUGUACGUUGUCUCCACAUGCUGCAAGGUAUCAUUUUCAAUUGCCUUAUUUGUUUUCCAGGCAAAUGUGGCAUCCGAGUUUGAGUGGAGGUUCUGGCAUAUUGUUUUCUUUAUCCUUGUCUUUGUAGGUAAGAACAAGGACAAAGGAAAGGACAGGGAGAACGCAUGAUAUGAUAUACUCUUGCUUUCUACCCUGGUGAUAUGAGAUACUUUUGCUUUGGUGUCAUUUGUUUGCAGAGGUACCCCAAGGAAUAAGAAACACUGAGUGACUCGAGAGGCUUUGUUGGGAAGGCAUUCUAGGAGAUGAAGAAAGGUUCUUGGAGAUGAAGAAAGGUUCUCGGAGAUGAAGAAAGGUUAUGUAUGUCUGCCUUGCUAUGGAGGGUAAAGGUGGACAGUUAUAGGAAAUUCUUUAGUACCUGUAGAGGUACUAUUCUUUUACUCGUGUCGGCAACCAAUGUGUGAUUGAUCAGUAUGGCUUCACGUGUUUUCUUCUUUAUCAGAAAUCUUCGACAAAUUGUCCGUAAUUUUCGUCAAGCUGAGUGUGCAUGUGACAGGUGUUGACGAGGCUGAAAAAGACUGGUGCCUCUUCGAUAUCUGGGAUCGGCGCUUCGACAAAUUGCCCGUGAUUUCCGCAAAGCUGAGUUUGCGCGUGACGGGUGCUGACGAGGCUGAAAAAGACUGGCGCCUCUUCGAUAUCUGGGAUUGGCGCUUUAACAAAUUGCCCAUGAUUUCUGCAAAGCUGAGUUUGCACGUGACGGGUGCUAACGCGUCUGGAAAAGCAAGAUGCUUCUCCGAUUUCUGAGCUUGCCUCUUUGAUUUUUGAAUUGGCCUCUUCGAAUUCUGAGCUCGCCUCUUCGAUCUUUGAAAUCCCAUCGAGUGUUGAUCUUUAUAGAGGCACGCAGUUCGUUUCAAAGCACACUUGAAUUUUCGCUUGUAGAAACUCCCUUCUUGCACUUCUAAGAUCUUGAUUUGUCCGACCUCUUCUUUCUUCAACACCUUUGAAAAUGUCUGGACCCUCCGACCGUCAUUUUGAUUUGAACCUUGGUGAAGAGGUAGUCCCGUCUUCUCCAGAUAACAUAUGACGCCCAUCUUUCAUAUCCCCUACUGGUCCUCUUACCGUUGGGGAUUCGGUGGUGAAGAAUGAUAUGACCGCUGCGGUGGUGGCCCGAAACCUUGUCACUCCCAGAGAUAACAGACUACUUUCCAAACGGUCUGAUGAGUUGGCUGUUAAGGAUUCUCUGGCUCUCAGUGUGCAGUGUGCAGGUUCUGUGUCUAAUAUGGCCCAACGCCUAUUUGCUCGAACCCGUCAAGUUGAAUCAUUGGCGGCUGAAGUGAUGAGUCUCAAACAGGAGAUAUUAGAGGGCUCAAGCAGAGAGAUAAACAGUUGCAUAAGCUCGCACAUAGCUAUGCGACAAACAUGAAGAGGAAGAUUAACCAGAUGCAGGAAUCUGAUGGUCAGAUUUUACUUGAUCAUCAGAGGUUUGUGGGUUUGUUCCAGCAGCAUUUGCCUUCGUCUUCUGGGGCUGUACCGCGUAAUGAAGCUCCAAAUGAUCAACCCUUGGCUCCUCUUCUUCCUGGAGUUCCGCCGAGUGGUGUGGCUUCAAACAGUCAACCUCCGACGCCUCUCAUUUCUGGAGCUCUGCUGAGUGGUGAGGUGGCACCUAAUCGUCCUUGAAGAUCCCCUCUUGUAAAUUUGAUUUGAUUUUUUUUUAAGUAUGUAUAAUGCAAAUUUAUGUAAAAUUUCCAGAAAAAAUAAAUAAAAACGGACUUUAUUUCUCUCAAUGCAUUUGUUUUGUUUUGUUUUUGUUUUUUUUGUUUUUUUGUUUUUGUUUUUUUUGUAAAUACAUAAUAACAUAUGUAUUUAUUUAUUUAUUCUUUUGUAAUAAAAUUGACUUUCUUUAAUAAAACUUUUAUAUUUUUCUUAUUUAUUUUGAUAUGACUGAACUCGAAAUUGAAUGUUCGAGCCGCCUACGUACCCUUCCAAAGAAGAGAUCAAGCCAUAACGUAGUUCAAAUGAGUGAUGAAUUUAAUAGUGAUUUUGAUGAUGAUUUUGCCGUACACAGUUUAUGCUCUUGUGGGCCAGGAGCUUUGGUGUUGCCUUUUAUGCUCGUGCAGACCAGGAGCGUUGAUGUCGCCUUUUAUGCUCGUGUGGGUCAGGAGCGUUGAUGUUGCCUUUUAUGCUCGUGCAGACCAGGAGCUUUGUGCCAUGCAGUUUAGACUCGUGCGGGCAAGGAGCUUUGGUUCGUGCAGUUUAGGCUCAUGCGAACAAGGAGCAUUGGUUCGUGCAGUUUAGGCUCGUGCGAACAAGGAGCAUUGGUGUUGCCUUUUAUGCUCGUGCAGACCAGGAGCUUUGUGCUAUGCAGUUUAGACUCGUGCGGGUGAGGAGAAUUUGUGAAUUUUGUCAAGCACUUUUGGAGAGGCGUUCCUUACAAUCUUCAUAGCAAGGAGCCUUGACCGAGUGAUUGAAGAAGUCUUCGGGAAAGAAGUCGCACAUCGUGAUGGCAACAGACGAUCUUUGUGUCGUAAUUUCAUCAUCUUCAACACGUUCACGUUGCUUUGAAGGUUGACAAGAGCUGCUUUGCCCCCUUUCCGAUUGGCGGACUUGUGGAGGAGACGUAUGCUUCUUGUGCCAUUUCUUAGGAGUGACUUGAGUCCAUCCUUCAAGUUUGCUUGUUUUGGAGGAUGCCCCCGGCGGUUGAGGUGAAAAUUUUGUGUUGAAAGAGCCAGAAGUGAUGGUGGUAUAGUUUGACUUCACCACAUCGUCAAGAUCUAGCUCGAUGAUUCCUUUCUGAGCCCACUUUAUGAUGAGAUCUUUCAGCACAAAGCACUUUUCUGUCGGAUGACUGAUGAAGCGGUGGAAUUUACAGUAUCUUGGACUGUUGGUACGAUUCAUCUCUUCCGGCCAUCUGCACUCAGGCAAACUGAUCACCUUCUUGUCCAACAGGUCAUCCAACAUGGCAACCACAUCAGAGUCAGGGAAUGGAUAAGUCUUCUCUUUAAGCUCCUUCAAAGUGCGUCUACGCAUCUCUUGAUCACGAAAAGCUUCGGUUUGAAUCGUUUUGCCUCGUGUGGAGAUUUUGACGGGAGAUGUGUUGACUGUCAUUGCUUCCUUGGUGGAUUUCCACGUAGCCUUCUCCACCUUUGUCUCAAGAAUUUUGUCGUUCUUGUAGUCGGCGAUCGGUUCCUUCUUCCCAUGAUGGGUGAUGCUCAACUCCAUGUCAUGGGCGUGGGUGGCCAAUUCCUCGAAGGUCCGUGGUUUAAUGCCUUGAAGGAUGUAUUGCAAACCUCAUUGCAUGCCUUGGAUGCACAUCUCGAUUGAAGAGGUCUCCGAGAGCCUAUCUUUGCAGUCGAGGCUUAGAGUGCGCCAUCUGUUGAUGUAGUCAAUGACCGGCUCAUCUUUCCAUUGCUUCAUACUUGUGAGCUCCAACAUGCUUACAGUGCGGCGGGUGUUGUAGAAGCGGUUGAGGAAUUCCCGCUCCAAUUGCUCCCAGCUGUUGAUGGACUCAGGCUCUAGGUCCGUGUACCACUCAAAUGCGUUUCUUUUCAGCGAGCGCAUAAACUGCUUGGCGAAGUAGUCCCCCUCCGUCCCCGCGUUGUUGCAAGUUUUGACGAAAUGUGCAACGUGCUGCUUUGGGUUUCCUUUUCCAUCAAACUGCAUGAACUUUGGUGGUUGAUAUCCCAUCGGCAUCUUUAGGGCAUCAAUCUUCUUUGAAUAAGGCUUUGAGUACAACCCGGAGGUAUUUGAGCUCCCUUCGUACUAUGCCUUGACGGUGCUGGCAAUCAUCUCUUGCAACUGUUGGAUAGAAAGAGAUCCCAUGAGUGCCGCUUCUUGGUCUGGCUCCGGCUUCACAUCGAUUUUCUCCACCGUAGGCUCAUCUUCUGGGUUAGGGUUCUCGCUGUCCUGUGGCUCCAGUUGACUGAUGAGUGCAGCGAUUUGCAAGUCUUUUUCUUCCACAGUUCGGGUUAGCCUUGCGAUUGCUUCAUUCAUUUGAGCCAGUUGUUCUUCGAUGGAGGUAACGCCGAUGGUCAUGACUUGUGCAACCAAUAGACGUGACUUUCCUUUAGACAUCCAAGAUGCUGAAGAAGAACGUCAUUGGUUGUUUUGGGAUGUCAUCUUGUGUGCCUCAGCAACAUGCUUUGGUGCCCCCAGCGAGGUCAGGUUGAUGACAGACUCACACCUUUGAUGCUCCCUUUGCUCUUUUAGCGGCACCAACUUUGAAGUGGCAUGUUAAGGAGCGGUUGUGGUGCUAAUGGAUUGUCCAUUUGCGGCAGAAGUGCUUAGGAUCCUUCCCUCAGUGAUUGCGAGAACGGCUUGUCCCUUGCUUGAUGCCAUUGAUUUUGAGGUGUGUUUGGAUUCCUUAAACGGAGAAAGAUAUGAGAGGUAGAGAUUGUCCCACCGGGCGUGCCAAUUUGUGAACACGAAAAUUUCCUGAAACGAAAGAGACAAGAACAACGUGCACAAAAUAAUAUUUUGGUGUUAAUGGAUUUGUUGGGUUACGAUCUCUUUUAACUUGAUCCUCUGAUUCGAUCUCCGUAAGGUGUUGAUUUAUGGAUGUUUCGUUGAUCUAAGGGCCGUCGAGGCUUGAUCUUGGAUGAACUGUUGGAAGUUUCUUCAAGGGGCCGUGGGCUUGAUCUUUGAAGGUGGAUUUGAGCGGAUCUUCAAGGAGCCGUUGGGGCUUGAUCUUGAGGAUGAGUGUUUCUUCAAGGGCCGUUAAGGCUUGAUCUUGAAUAACGGUGAUGAACGGAUCUUCAAGGGCUUUUGGGCUUGAUCUUGAAGAACGGUUGGAUGUGUGGAUUUGUUGAUGUUGUUGAUCCAAGGGCCGUCGGGGCUUGAUCUUGGAAGAACGAUGAACGAAGAACGAAGAACACUUUCUUCAAAGGCCGUCGGGGCUUGAUCUUGAAUUGGUGAUUGUUGAUCCAAGGGCCGUCGGGGCUUGAUCUUGGAAGAACGGUGAACGAAGAAUGAAGAACGAAGAACACUUUCUUCAAGGGCCGUCGGGGCUUGAUCUUGAAUUGGUGAUUGUUAAUCAAAGGGCCGUCGGGGCUUGAUCUUGGAAGAACGAUGAACGAAGAACGAAGAAGGCUUUCUUGAUUCUUCGGGAUGAACGGAUGAUGAACAAUGAACACUUUCUUCAAGGGCCAUCGGGGCUUGAUCUUGAAUUGGUGGAAGUUCUUCAGGGCCUUUGGGGCUUGAUCUUGAAGGUGGAUGAUUGUUGAUCCAAGGGCCGUCGGGGCUUGAUCUUGGGAUGAACAGUUGUGUGGAUUUGUUGAACACUUUCUUCAAGGGCCGUCGAUGCUUGAUCUUGAAUUGGUGGAAGUUCGUCAAGGGCCGUUGGGGCUUGAUCUUGAAGAAGGAUUUGACGAAGAACGAAGAGAGCUUUCUUGAUCCUUCGGAAUUUGCUUGAAUUUGGGAGGUUGGAUGCUUGAAAGCUUUAGAGUUUCAAAGCUUCAAGGAUUUUGGAUGUGUGGGGAGUAUUCUCUUACAUUUUGGGAGUAGAGAAAUGUAUUUGUGAAUUGGUUUUUGAUACCUUGAUGUAGAAGCCUAUUUAUAGGCUUUGAGAAUGAAUCACCACCACAAAAUAUUUUUUUCUUUUCCAAGCACCAUUGCCUAAUUUCCCACUUAAUACAAUUUUAAACUUGAAGUGGUAAUUUUAUGGCCUAAUUUUCCACUUAAUAUCAUUUUAAACUUGAUAUGUGCAUGCUUUGUCAUUGCCCAAAAUGAGAAGAAAACCUUGUUUUGAUCUUCAAUGGAUUGAAAUGUGCUUUGCCUUGUCAUUGCCCAAAAUGAGAAGAAAAACUUGUGUAAUCCUCCAAGGGUAUUUCUUUUUAUUUUGUUGAGUCACACACCAUGUGUACAAUUUGUAUGACACGUGGCAUAUGCCAUAUAUGCCUUGACACGUCAAAAUUUUAAUGCGUUGGUGAACAUUUAUUUCACCGCAAUUUCGAUGUCUACAAUUUCAUUUCUUGUGAAUAAUGUUUAUCCUGUGUUCUGUCCAAUCGCGUAUUAAAAAAUGUGUGAAGUUUGGAUUAACCACACUCUUUUAGAAUUUCCUUUAUUUACCACUUUUUGAGAAUUUCCAAUAAGACUGGGUGAGUCUCCGCUGAGAAUUUCCUCAACUAACACCACACUACUUGAGGGAUAAUUUGUUAUAUCUUUGAAUAAAGAAUAAAACAGUUUCCUACUUUUGAAGGUACUAUUAACUUACACUAUAUUUGGAUGAAGGUCAAACUUUAUAAAUUGACAUACACCAAAUUCUUUGUUUGGAUUCAUAAACAUAUAAAUUUAGAAUUUCCGCGUGGAAAAAAAAAAUACUUAGAAUUUGAGACCUCCAAUUCUCAAAUUGAAAGUUUAAAAAUAAUAAAUUCCGUAUUCAAUUCAAUUGUUCUUUUAGGUUAACCAAAUAAGAAAAUUCACAAAUUCUAAAAUAUAAAAUCUCAUCAUUUCAAUUUCCGUCAUUUUAAAAUUCCUUAGUAAUAUUAAAUUUCUUCAUCCAAACAUAGUGUUAAGAAAUUUUUUAAAGAUACACUAUUUACACUCAUUUUUAUUUCUUACACAUUUAUUAACUUUGUCCAUUGAUUUCUUCAAUUCAUUUUGCCAGUUAUACAAAAAUUGAGAACAGUAUUUAUGAAUUAAAAAUACAUUUGUAGAUGUCACUACCAAAUUUUUAUUCCUAAUUCAAGAAAAUCUUAUCCAUAUAUGAUUGCCCUUGCCCACUUUAAAUGGGUGCCAUCACUUUACGAUAGAGCAAUCCUAACCGUCCACCUAGGUAAGCAUAACUGGCGAUGCAUGUCGCAAGGGGACCGCAUUGCACAAUAUAAUUAUACUAGUUGAUAAGACAAGUGAUGUCAAUCAAUAAAUUAUUUCAUUAAAACUUAGUUGUAUGUAUCAUAUGUUGUAAUGUAGGGUGUAUGAUAUGCUGACGCUGUAAAAAAAUGUAACCUUUUUAAUAUUACUCAUAAUAGUAAGACUUACCAGUAUUAGGAUGUUAUCAGUGGAAUGAGAAUCCUCUCCAGAUCUUUUUUGUGAGCUAUUAUUUGUAUUUAAUUUUAAAUAUAAAAAAUUAAAAUAAUUUAUGACGGCAGUGAUUCACAUGAUCUUCACAAAGAGAAUCCAAAUAAUCUUAAUUUAUAUCAGUGUGUCUAGAUAACAUGAUCGAGCCCCUUUACUUUUACCCUAUUUAGUAUUUUACAUUUGAACCUGUAAAUAUUCGAUUUUUCUUUGGUGCAACCGAGCACCAAAUAUAGAUUUUUUUUCACUUUUAUAUAAUGAUAAAUAAAGGGCAAUUGGCAGAUUUGAAUUCCAUUCGGAUUGGUCAAAAAUCAUUUUAAAUUGUUUUAUUUAAAAUUAAACACAUAUAGUACUUAAUAAAAAUUAGUCGUACAAUAUACGAUAAACAGAUAUAAUGUAAGGACCUUUAUGAUCUUCACAAAAAAGAUCCAAAGGUUGUGUAGCUGUUUCAAAAGGAUAAUACUCACUUUUGAUUAGUUCAAUGAAAUUUUAAACAUGUUUUAUUGUUUUAAAAAAUAAUAAACAUAUUUAUUAAUGUUUGUUUUACUUUAAAAAAUAAGCAGCACUUGACAACAUUUGAUUGUGCUAAAUAAAAAAUGAGUGACCACUUAGUACUACAGUCUUAUGAUAUUUUUCUUCAUUUGAAAGUGAGAGGUUUUAAGUUCGAAUCUCGUGGAUGACGAAUUUGAUAUCAAAUUAGAUUGCUCACUAUGUGGCUUAGCCGAACUCUCAUUUCCUUUAAUGUAAAAAUAUUGAUGUAUUCAAAAAAAUAAAAAGUGACUAUAGAGGACACUCAAUCUCAGCUGUAUGAUUAAAUCAGACGGUAAGAAAAAUUCUGCAAGCAUACUCGGUUACAUUAAUUGAAGAAAAAAUGGGUAAAUAUUGGGCACCAACGUUAUAAAUACCCUCCACCAUGCACCCAACUCCCUCACACCAUCACAACCCACGUUACAAAUCCUCCUCCUCAUCAUAACCAUUCUGUUUUCCGCAUAAUAUCCAAAAACCUAUCAUGUCUGAAGAGAAACACCACCGCGGUCUCUUCCACCACCACAAGGAUGAAGACAAACCCUCAGACUACCCUCAGUCUGGCUACUCUGAUGAAGGACGUCCCGGCGGCCUCGGUGGUGGUUACGGCGACACCAAUGAUUAUUCUGGUGAAGGACGUACCGGCGGCCUAGGUGGUGGCUAUGGCGACACCAAUGCUUAUUCUGGUGAAGGACGUCCCGGCGGCUAUGGCGGCUAUAACGAGACCACUGCUUACUCUGAGGAAAGAGUUGAAAGACCCGGCGGUGGCCGGUACAGUGAGACUACUGCGGCAUAUGGCAGCACCACCACUCAUGAAUCUGAACUUGAUUACAAGAAGGAGGAGAAGCACCACAAGCAU
This 31459-nucleotide long non-coding RNA is filed under the name Malus domestica (apple). Its description in RNAcentral is "long non-coding RNA (MDOM_LNC004302)". Lineage: Eukaryota; Viridiplantae; Streptophyta; Magnoliopsida; Rosales; Rosaceae. The record is from RNAcentral.